RNAcentral lists this ribosomal RNA (402 nucleotides) under uncultured bacterium. Its description in RNAcentral is "bacterial SSU rRNA". It matches the Rfam family "Bacterial small subunit ribosomal RNA", at positions 359 to 776 of the family's 1533-position model. The record is from RNAcentral.
GAAUCUUCCACAAUGGGCGAAAGCCUGAUGGAGCAACGCCGCGUGCAGGAUGAAGGCCUUCGGGUCGUAAACUGCUUUUAUUAGUGAAGAAUAUGACGGUAACCAAUGAAUAAGGGUCGGCUAACUACGUGCCAGCGGCCGCGGUCAUACGUAGGACCCAAGCGUUAUCCGGAGUGACUGGGCGUAAAGAGUUGCGUAGGCGGCGCGUUAAGCAGAUAGUGAAACCUUGUGGCUCAACCAUUAAGACUAUUAUCUGAACUGACGUGCUAGAGAAUGGUAGAGGUAGCUGGAAUUUCUAGUGUAGGAGUGAAAUCCGUAGAUAUUAGAAGGAACACCAAUGGCGUAGGCAGGCUACUGGACCAUUUCUGACGCUGAGGCACGAAAGCGUGGGGAGCGAACCGG